UACGAAGGGGGCUAGCGUUGCUCGGAAUCACUGGGCGUAAAGCGCACGUAGGCGGAUUGUUAAGUCAGGGGGGAAAUCCUGGAGCUCAACUCCAGAACUGCCUUUGAUACUGGCGAUCUUGAGUCCGGGAGAGGUGAGUGGAACUCCGAGUGUAGAGGUGAAAUUCGUAGAUAUUCGGAAGAACACCAGUGGCGAAGGCGGCUCACUGGCCCGGUACUGACGCUGAGAUACGAAAGCGUGGGGAGCAAACAGG
RNAcentral lists this ribosomal RNA (253 nucleotides) under uncultured bacterium. RNAcentral's name for it is "partial 16S ribosomal RNA". It matches the Rfam family "Bacterial small subunit ribosomal RNA", at positions 524 to 776 of the family's 1533-position model. The record is from RNAcentral.